AUCGAUGAAGAACGCAGCGAAAUGCGAUAAGUAGUGUGAAUUGCAGAAUUCAGUGAAUCAUCGAAUCUUUGAACGCACAUUGCGCCCCUUGGUAUUCCAUGGGGCAUGCCUGUUCGAGCGUCAUUUGUACCCUCAAGCUUUGCUUGGUGUUGGGUGUUUGUCCUBUDNNNGGACUCGCCUUAAAGUCAUUGGCAGCCAGUGUUUUGGUAUUGAAGCGCAGCACAUUUUGCGHCUCAADCCUAGAACVCUVGCDUCCABDAAGCCCUUUUUCACUUUUGACCUCGGAUCAGGUAGGGAUACCCGCUGAACUUAAGCAUAUCAAUAAGCGGAGGAAAAGAAACCAACAGGGAUUGCCCUAGUAACGGCGAGUGAAGCGGCAACAGCUCAAAUUUGAAAUCUGGCUCUUUCAGAGUCCGAGUUGUAAUUUGCAGAGGGCGCUUUGGUGUUGGCAGCGGUCCAAGUUCUUUGGAACAGGACGUCACAGAGGGUGAGAAUCCCGUACGUGGUCGCUAGCCUUCGCCGUGUAAAGCCCCUUCGACGAGUCGAGUUGUUUGGGAAUGCAGCUCUAAAUGGGAGGUAAAUUUCUUCUAAAGCUAAAUACUGGCCAGAGACCGAUAGCGCACAAGUAGAGUGAUCGAAAGAUGAAAAGCACUUUGGAAAGAGAGUCAAAUAGCACGUGAAAUUGUUGAAAGGGAAGCGCUUGCAGCCAGACUUGCCUGUAGUUGCUUAUCCGGACUUUUGUCCGGUGCACUCUUCUGCGGGCAGGCCAGCAUCAGUUUGGGCGGUUGGAUAAAGGUCUCUGUCAUGUACCUCUCUUCGGGGAGRCCUUAUAGGGGAGACGACAUGCAACCAGCCUGGACUGAGGUCCGCGCAUCUGCUAGGAUGCUGGCGUAAUGGCUGUAAGCGGCCCG
Molecule: ribosomal RNA, 911 nt
Filed under: uncultured Ascomycota
Lineage: Eukaryota; Fungi; Ascomycota
Description: eukaryotic LSU rRNA
Rfam family: Eukaryotic large subunit ribosomal RNA (bases 277-911)
Source: RNAcentral